RNAcentral lists this ribosomal RNA (108 nucleotides) under uncultured bacterium. Its description in RNAcentral is "partial 16S ribosomal RNA". It matches the Rfam family "Bacterial small subunit ribosomal RNA", at positions 1375 to 1482 of the family's 1533-position model. The record is from RNAcentral.
CGGGUCUUGUACACACUGCCCGUCAAGCCAUGGGAGUUGGUUUUACCUUAAGCAGGUGCGCUAACCGUAAGGAAGCAGCCUACCACGGUAAAGUCGAUGACUGGGGUU